AUCCUGCAAAAGCCACAGAUGUGGCCAGAGCCAUGCAGAGAUUCCAUCCCAGGUCUGUACGAUGAUAAGAUGUCCCAAGUCAUCACCUUGUAGUGCCUUCCUGAAUAACCGACAAGGAAUGAAGCACAGUGGCAAGAAAUGAUGUCAAACAUGAUUAAAUGUUACCAGGACAAGAUGGUGAUUUUUGCAAGCCUGUGACGUGAGAAAUCUGGGCCUAUUAUGAAUGAGGAAUUUCCAGAAUGUGCUUUUGAAAGUUUUUCAGAGUAAGUCAAGUGCUGUGGGUGCUAUGACUGAGGGGGAGACGUAAUCACAACCAGCUGGAAAGUGUUGGCCAGCCAGUUUUUCUUUACAUCCUCUACAUGA
Long non-coding RNA from Lontra canadensis (Northern American river otter), 363 nucleotides. RefSeq lists it as uncharacterized. Lineage: Eukaryota; Metazoa; Chordata; Mammalia; Carnivora; Mustelidae. The transcript is spliced from 3 exons. The record is from RefSeq and is a predicted model, not a curated record.